This 489-nucleotide ribosomal RNA is filed under the name uncultured bacterium. RNAcentral's name for it is "partial 16S ribosomal RNA". It matches the Rfam family "Bacterial small subunit ribosomal RNA", at positions 28 to 507 of the family's 1533-position model. The record is from RNAcentral.
GAUGAACGCUAGCGGGAGGCCUAACACAUGCAAGCCGAGCGGGAUUUGUUGGUUAGCUUGCUAACUAACAAUGAGAGCGGCGUACGGGUGCGUAGCACGUGUGCAACCUGCCUUUAUCUGGGGGAUAGCCUUUCGAAAGGAAGAUUAAUACCCCAUAACAUAUUGAUUGGCAUCAGUUAAUAUUGAAAGCUCCGGCGGAUAGAGAUGGGCACGCGUAAGAUUAGCUAGUUGGUGAGGUAACGGCUCACCAAGGCUGCGAUCUUUAGGGGGCCUGAGAGGGUGAUCCCCCACACUGGUACUGAGACACGGACCAGACUCCUACGGGAGGCAGCAGUGAGGAAUAUUGAACAAUGGGUGAGAGCCUGAUCCAGCCAUCCCGCGUGAAGGACUAAGGACCUAUGGUUUGUAAACUUCUUUUAUACAGGGAUAAACCUACUCUCGUGAGGGUAGCUGAAGGUACUGUAUGAAUAAGCACCGGCUAACUCCGUG